Topomyia yanbarensis is the source of this 1637-nucleotide long non-coding RNA. RefSeq lists it as uncharacterized. The record is from RefSeq and is a predicted model, not a curated record. Lineage: Eukaryota; Metazoa; Arthropoda; Insecta; Diptera; Culicidae. The transcript is spliced from 3 exons.
GUAGCAUUUGCUCAAAUUGGUAUGAAUAAAACUUUACUUUACUCAGCUUGGACUGUAGCAAGUUCGAAAUUCGAACAUAGCUUUUGCUCCGUCAAUUAUUUGUCAACAUCAUAAUUUUCGGGUAGUAAAAAAUUUUAAGUGGAAUCAAAAAAAUUGUUUUAAUUAUUUCGUGAAGGAAAAAGAUAUUUGACCCAAACUCUAUCGAACUAAUCACUAACAACCGUCAACAACUACACAUACAGUAAGAAAUCAUGCCGUGACAACCGGAGGUUGUAUUUUCUAAUUUAAGUACGAUUUACACGAUACGUCAGGCUUCUGUCAAAGUCAAAGGAACGUCAACAUUAGUUACAUGCAGUUAAAUGGAUGUAUUCACACAACAUCAACGGCACGAAUGUUUCAAGGUACGGAACCUGUAAAUGGUUAAAAGAGAAACGCAUUCAACUUAUCCUAGCGGAACGAUGACGUGACUUUGACGAUGUGUACACAAGACACAGUUGACGGUGCUAGGUGUUGGAUUAAGUCGUGGUAGACACGUUGAUUUAAUGCAUUUAGUACGCUCCAUUCGUUGGGCAGUAAAUGGAAAAGCAGCAUCCCAGACCUAAACCGAAUUGGCUUAAAAGUGCAGUUAAGUAGUGAUGAAAGAUAAGGCACGAUAUAACGGAACAGCAGCAUCGAUUUCAUCACCAAGGACUGUUAUGACACCUACUGGCUAGAGCAUCAGUAGGGAAAAACAACUGGUGCAGGAUAGUCCCAGUAUUUAUCGUGGAAGUGCCCCAUACAAUGCACAUGUAACAACGUUUAGAUUGUUUGUUUUUCUUGCGGUGCAAUACAAUCAUUGAUUAUAUUUAACAUAACGCUAUGUGCAUCCUGGACGAUUAAUGGUGGAACCUGUACUGCUGCUAUACGCAUAACUGUCCCAUGUGUAUAGGAAAUCUCAUAGCACAUGGGACAGUUAUGCUUAUAGCGGCUGUGUAACUGGUGCUUCAUUGAAUCUCAAUUGAGCUGCACACAGGCAGCUGUUCUAAAGGACGAUUCAGACGAUACAUCAGUUUCCGUCAACGGAACGUCACCGUUCCGUCAGGAUAAGUUAGAUGCGUUGCUCUUGUGUUCGUUCACACGUACCGUACGUCAAAACGUCCCAUGCCGUUGAUGUUGUGUGUGAAUGCCUUCAUUUAACUGCAUGUAACUAAUCUCGUAUGCAUUGUACGUUAACGCAUCGUUGUUGUCGAAUGUGAGCAACUAGCUGGACGCGUAAUUAGACACAUCGCUCGUCUAAGGACAGCUUUAAUCUAACGUUUCAUUAAGCACAAGAUAUGUUCUAUUACUCCAUGUUGUAAUGUAGCGUAAGCGUAUAACCAAUGAUUGUAAAUUAGCAUUGCCGAAAUUGGACGAAUAUACUGGGUGUUACAUCCAUUACAAAUGAGGAUGUUAUUACUAGCAGAACAUAGGUCGAUAAGCACUAUACUUGUGUGUGAGCGUAGGAGGCUCAGAUGGAUUGGAUGUACGAAUGAAUUGAAUGAUUUUUUCAUGAUAGCAUAACAGAUUUGGUGGAAAACCAGAUUGUUCUAAAACAAUAACGAUAAAUCAAUAUCCAGUAAAAAAGUAAAUAAGAUUUGAAAAUAUUGAACAAAGAAAAC